GGGAGGGUGAAUGUGAAGGCCAUGGCACUAGCGAAAAGGAGUCCCCACCAUGGCAUCUGAACCUGAUCAUUCAAGAAGAUGCAGAGUAUGAGAGAAACGGCCAGUGAUAGACCAAGCAACACAUGGAACCACCAUGAAGAAUUGCUCAUGGGGUGGUGGUUGCUGAAGUUAGGUACUAUUGACUAGAGGGUGAAAGAUGAGCAAAUAUGGAGCAGAAGGCUGAGAUUUUCCUACCUUAUGGUCCUUAUCUUCAACAAAAACGAUCGCCAUCCAAUGUUGACUCCCAAUUGUCUAUAUUUCUUGCUUAACAGUGUGCCUUGCCUUGCUUACUUUUGAAAAACAAAUUCAGAGCAGACAUUAUUAUUAAAUGGGUAGUUGACCAUCGUUUCCAUAUAGCGACACCAAAAUGUAAUUAUUAUGAUGAUAAAGCACAUGUACGUUUUCCUGGA
Molecule: long non-coding RNA, 449 nt
Organism: Tripterygium wilfordii
Lineage: Eukaryota; Viridiplantae; Streptophyta; Magnoliopsida; Celastrales; Celastraceae
Exons: 3
Source: RefSeq, a predicted model, not a curated record